Lophium mytilinum is the source of this 93-nucleotide non-coding RNA. Lineage: Eukaryota; Fungi; Ascomycota; Dothideomycetes; Mytilinidiales; Mytilinidiaceae. The record is from the annotation of a GenBank genome assembly.
UCCGGUGUGGUUUAGUCGGUUAUAAUAUGUCAGGAUAGGAGCCUGUUGCAGGAUCCGCCUGACAAGACCCAAGUUCGAUCCUUGGCGCCGGAC